GACGAACGCUGGCGGCGUGCUUAACACAUGCAAGUCGAACGGUGAAGCGCCUUACUUUUUGGUGCGCGAGGAUGAGUGGCGAACUGGUGAGUAACACGUGAGUAACCUGCCCCCUUCUUCUGGAUAACCGCAUGAAAGUGUGGCUAAUACGGGAUAUUCUGGGUCUGUCGCAUGAUGGGUCUGGGAAAGAUAUUGUUUCGGUGGGGGCUGGGCCGACGUCCUAUCAGCUUGUUGGUGGGGUGAUGGGCUACCAGGGCGGUGACGGCUGGCCAGCCUGAGAGGGGCGGCGGGAACGCUGGGACGGAGACACGGCCAAGACUCCAACGGGGGACAACAGUGGGGAGUAGUGGACAAGGGGGGCAAGCCUAAUGCGGCGACGCCGCGAGAGGGAUAGGGGCCUUCGGGUUGAAAACCUCUUUCGCGGGUAAAACAGGCCUGCCUCGUUUGAGGGUGGGUUGACGGUAGCUGGUAAAGAGGCACCGGCUAACUACGUG
Molecule: ribosomal RNA, 494 nt
Filed under: uncultured bacterium
Lineage: Bacteria
Description: partial 16S ribosomal RNA
Rfam family: Bacterial small subunit ribosomal RNA
Source: RNAcentral